GACGUAGGGCGCAAGCGUUGUCCGGAUUUAUUGGGCGUAAAGAGCUUGUAGGCGGUUUGUCGCGUCUGCCGUGAAAAUCCGGGGCUCAACCCCGGACUUGCGGUGGGUACGGGCAGACUAGAGUGUGGUAGGGGAGACUGGAAUUCCUGGUGUAGCGGUGAAAUGCGCAGAUAUCAGGAGGAACACCGAUGGCGAAGGCAGGUCUCUGGGCCACUACUGACGCUGAGAAGCGAAAGCGUGGGGAGCGAACAGG
Molecule: ribosomal RNA, 253 nt
Filed under: uncultured bacterium
Lineage: Bacteria
Description: partial 16S ribosomal RNA
Rfam family: Bacterial small subunit ribosomal RNA
Source: RNAcentral